Molecule: long non-coding RNA, 350 nt
Organism: Portunus trituberculatus (swimming crab)
Lineage: Eukaryota; Metazoa; Arthropoda; Malacostraca; Decapoda; Portunidae
Exons: 4
Source: RefSeq, a predicted model, not a curated record
CUCUGUUUUAGACAUUGACAGUUUUUGAACAUUUGUGGAGCAGAGGUGCACCAUGGCUUGCCACAAUGUCACAAUGGGUUCUUGGAGAGCCGCUGCUGUUGACUUGCUGCAUGUCUCCUCUCUGCGGCAAAACUCCACAAAUACUCCACUCACCAAGUUCCAGAGGGAGAGGAUCACCAGCCACCACCGGCCGUACUAAAGGAAGUGGCUCUAUGUAGGGAUGGAACAUAGCAACUACACCAGCUGGGACACACCUAGCCAACUGAAAGUCAAGCCAAUAGUCCCUGAAUGUUGCCAAGGAGACACACUGCACCACCAAGCCAAGCCAAGCAAGCCACAAUGCAACACAA